RNAcentral lists this microRNA precursor (106 nucleotides) under Otolemur garnettii (small-eared galago). RNAcentral describes it as "miRNA (ENSOGAG00000021193.1)". Lineage: Eukaryota; Metazoa; Chordata; Mammalia; Primates; Galagidae. The record is from RNAcentral.
AUGAUCCAUGUAUUAAAAUACAGGUUACUGGUCCCAGCCUCAGAAAUUCUCCUUCAGUAGGUUGUUAGUGGGGCCCAGGAAUCUGCAUUUUUAAACAAGUUGCCCC